GAUGAACGCUAGCUACAGGCUUAACACAUGCAAGUCGAACGGAGUGCUCAUGACAGAGGAUUCGUCCAAUGGAAUGAGUUACUUAGUGGCGGACGGGUGAGUAACGCGUGAGUAACCUGCCUUGGAGUGGGGAAUAACACAACGAAAGCUGUGCUAAUACCGCAUAAUGCAGCUGAGUCGCAUGGCUCUGGCUGCCAAAGAUUUAUCGCUCUGAGAUGGACUCGCGUCUGAUUAGCUAGUUGGCGGGGUAACGGCCCACCAAGUCAACGAUCAGUAGCCGGUCUGAGAGGAUGAACGGCCACAUUGGGACUGAGAUACGGCCCAG
This 325-nucleotide ribosomal RNA is filed under the name uncultured bacterium. RNAcentral's name for it is "bacterial SSU rRNA". It matches the Rfam family "Bacterial small subunit ribosomal RNA", at positions 28 to 334 of the family's 1533-position model. The record is from RNAcentral.